Molecule: ribosomal RNA, 324 nt
Filed under: uncultured beta proteobacterium
Lineage: Bacteria; Pseudomonadati; Pseudomonadota; Betaproteobacteria
Description: bacterial SSU rRNA
Rfam family: Bacterial small subunit ribosomal RNA
Source: RNAcentral
CAUGAUCUGGCAACAGCAAAGCGGGGAUCGGUAACGACCUCGCGCGAUUGGAGCGGCCGAUGUCCGAUUAGCUAGUUGGUGGGGUAAAGGCCUACCAAGGCGACGAUCGGUAGCUGGUCUGAGAGGAUGAUCAGCCACACUGGGACUGAGACACGGCCCAGACUCCUACGGGAGGCAGCAGUGGGGAAUUUUGGACAAUGGGGGCAACCCUGAUCCAGCCAUGCCGCGUGAGUGAAGAAGGCCUUCGGGUUGUAAAGCUCUUUCGGUGGGAACGAAACGGUGCAGGCUAACACUCUGCACUAAUGACGGUACUCACAGAAGAAG